This 465-nucleotide ribosomal RNA is filed under the name Vreelandella stevensii. RNAcentral's name for it is "partial 16S ribosomal RNA". It matches the Rfam family "Bacterial small subunit ribosomal RNA", at positions 338 to 795 of the family's 1533-position model. Lineage: Bacteria; Pseudomonadati; Pseudomonadota; Gammaproteobacteria; Oceanospirillales; Halomonadaceae. The record is from RNAcentral.
CCUACGGGGGGCAGCAGUGGAGAAUAUUGGACAAUGGGGGGAACCCUGAUCCAGCCAUGCCGCGUGUGUGAAGAAGGCCCUCGGGUUGUAAAGCACUUUCAGUGAGGAAGAACGCCUGGUGGUUAAUACCCAUCAGGAAAGACAUCACUCACAGAAGAAGCACCGGCUAACUCCGUGCCAGCAGCCGCGGUAAUACGGAGGGUGCGAGCGUUAAUCGGAAUUACUGGGCGUAAAGCGCGCGUAGGUGGCUUGAUAAGCCGGUUGUGAAAGCCCCGGGCUCAACCUGGGAACGGCAUCCGGAACUGUCAAGCUAGAGUGCAGGAGAGGAAGGUAGAAUUCCCGGUGUAGCGGUGAAAUGCGUAGAGAUCGGGAGGAAUACCAGUGGCGAAGGCGGCCUUCUGGACUGACACUGACACUGAGGUGCGAAAGCGUGGGUAGCAAACAGGAUUAGAUACCCUGGUAGUC